Molecule: ribosomal RNA, 385 nt
Filed under: uncultured bacterium
Lineage: Bacteria
Description: bacterial SSU rRNA
Rfam family: Bacterial small subunit ribosomal RNA
Source: RNAcentral
AUUGAACGCUGGCGGCAUGCCUUACACAUGCAAGUCGAACGGCAGCGCGGGGCAACCUGGCGGCGAGUGGCGAACGGGUGAGUAAUAUAUCGGAACGUACCCUGGAGUGGGGGAUAACGUAGCGAAAGUUACGCUAAUACCGCAUACGAUCUAAGGAUGAAAGUGGGGGAUUCGCAAGAACCUCAUGCUCCUGGAGCGGCCGAUAUCUGAUUAGCUAGUUGGUGGGUAAAGGCCUACCAAGGCAUCGAUCAGUAGCUGGUCUGAGAGGACGACCAGCCACACUGGAACUGAGACACGGUCCAGACUCCUACGGGAGGCAGCAGUGGGGAAUUUUGGACAAUGGGCGAAAGCCUGAUCCAGCAAUGCCGCGUGAGUGAAGAAGGCC